GAUGAACGCUAGCUACAGGCUUAACACAUGCAGGUCGAGGGGAAACGAUAUUGGAAGCUUGCUUCCGAUAGGCGUCGACCGGCGCACGGGUGAGUAACGCGUAUCCAACCUGCCCAUCACUUGGGGAUAACCUUGCGAAAGUAAGACUAAUACCCAAUGAUAUCUCUAGAAGACAUCUGAAGGAGAUUAAAGAUUUAUCGGUGAUGGAUGGGGAUGCGUCUGAUUAGCUUGUUGGCGGGGUAAUGGCCCACCAAGGCUACGAUCAGUAGGGGUUCUGAGAGGAAGGUCCCCCACAUUGGAACUGAGACACGGUCCAAACUCCUACGGGAGGCAGCAGUGAGGAAUAUUGGUCAAUGGACGAGAGUCUGAACCAGCCAAGUAGCGUGCAGGAUGACGGCCCUAUGGGUUGUAAACUGCUUUUAUAAGGGAAUAAAGUGAGUCUCGUGAGACUUUUUGCAUGUACCUUAUGAAUAAGGACCGGCUAAUUCCGUGCCAGCCGCCGCAGUAA
RNAcentral lists this ribosomal RNA (508 nucleotides) under uncultured bacterium. Its description in RNAcentral is "partial 16S ribosomal RNA". It matches the Rfam family "Bacterial small subunit ribosomal RNA", at positions 28 to 523 of the family's 1533-position model. The record is from RNAcentral.